AGAGCAGCAUCUGCCCCGUCCAGUGGGAGGUGAUUCACUGAGGUCUAGGCAGGCGUCUUGGCACAGCCUCAAGGCAUGGGCAUGAGGAGCAGGGCCAGGCCCUUGGGCGACAGAUGAGAACGAGGCAGGGUCCUGGCAGGUCUGAGAGGCUGAGCCACAGGACUUCACACUGCCCCUGCCUGCUGGUUUCACCUCUAGUGAGACACUGUCCCUCCUCAAAUUGCAUCCCAGUGAUUGAAAACAACACUUCUCUCUAGAUCCCUGAACACAGGAUGCCCCCGCCAUCAUUUACACCAUUUGCUCCCUGAAAACUUACACCACCCUCCCCCCUUGGAAAACUCAGGUCUCAGCUCAAGCACAUGGCUUCUAUGACACUCCCCCCCACACACAUGUCUAUGCUCUCUGAUGGCUUGGGGGGCUCCGACCCCUGCACCCUCUGCCUUGUGGCACUGUGCAACAAUGGCCUUUCUCUUACUGUCCUGAUUUGUGGCUGUCUCCUCACAGUGGUGAGCAAUGCCAGGGCAGGGACAGACACUUCUCCAAAUCUAGAGCCCUAGGCAAUCAAAGGCACUUUUGUGUUCUCCAAGGAACCUUAGGAUCUCCAGGGAAGACACUGUGAAGGAGGCGAUCCAGAUAAGUGGACAUGAGUAUUCAGUUAGUAGGAGUCCUACAAUAUUGUGUCUCUAAAUCAGUGUCUCAUGAAUUUGGAAAGUGGCCCUCCAUACUUCAGAGCUAGCACAUACUGGAGUGCUCCUUGGAGGCAAGGGAGUUCCCAAAUUGCAAGGCUAAGGACUCACAUGCUGGACCAAGUUGUCCUCCUAGUGGUCACUUCAUGAGGCCCACAUGGGCCACCAGCCGGCCACAUUAAAAAAAUCAUAUCCUACAUCUUCCAUUCUAUAAGACAGCCUAUUUACUUAAGAUGUUUCUUAGAGUCUUCUCCUUUGGGGACUGGCUAAUGUUACAGUAGAUGGAUGGGUCUGACCUACCCAGAUCUUCCUCUGUUGAUUUUUCAAAUUCAUCAGAGAACAAGAGAGUUGGGUACUUUCUUAAAUGCAUUGAACCACUUGGUGGCCCCUAUCUAGUAGUUGGGUAUCAAUGAAGAAACCAUGACAAGACAUGUUUGGACACGAGCAAGAAUCCUUCAUUCAUGCUGCACACACAGGCUUUACCAUCCAUUUGUAUCAGUAUCAUCCAUGACCUGAAAACAGCAUUACUUCACGGACGCCACAAUUUUUCAGUUACAAUUUAAAAAUCAACACUCACAAGAGGGGAAAUUGUGUUAGUCUCUCAUAUGCAGAGAAUAAGCCAUAAUUUCCUUGAAGUUUUACCCAUGGGUUACAGAGAAUGUAGGUUUUAAAAUAUUUGCCUGUAUCUGAGUAGAAACAAUCUUACUCCUCAGUGUAUGCUCUUAAAAAAAAAAAAAAACAAAAAUAACCUUAUUUGGACUCUAUUCUGCCUUCUAAGACAACAACUAUCACUUCUCCUUCCCUACUUUGCCCUCUUCUCUCUGUCAAAUGUCUUUUAUCACAAAGAAAUUGCAAGGCUUCGGGUCAUACUCAGCUUUUCCCUUGGUUUCAGUAGGGCUCCUUGGUGAACACAUACCCUGUUAUGAUUAAAAACAUUUGCCAGCUCAAAAUGUCUUCUCCAAGCCCCUCUAUAAAAGAAUAUUAAAAUCAAGGCUCGUGCUGUUAUGAGUUUCUGGAACAACAGUCCCAGAGGCAACAGCUGCUCUUUCUUAUUGUUGUAACAGCAACUCUCUUGGCAGCACUGAGAUGGGCUUUUAUAAACUUCCCUGGAGGGAACCCACUGAAGUUCAAAAGUGAUCCCCACCAAUUCCUGACCUCUGUGUGAUCCAGAAGACGCCCUGCCAGCCACCAGCUAGCUAUGCAAGGUGGGGCCCAUGAGCCCCUCCUCCAAUGAACUACACAAGAAGGAAAUGAAAAAGAGAGAGAAAGAGAGCUCUCCAAGAGCCUGGACAGCAUUCCUCUGUAUCUAAUGGUCCUCCUCUGAGGCAGCUGCUGCCUUCAGGCAUGACUUCCCAUCUGGAUACUGGGAAGGCCUUAGGUCAGGCGUCAGCACUUUGCACCAGAGAUACUCAUGAGUUUUAACCUCCAAAGGAACAAGGCAAGGAUCCUCUUUGCUGAAGAGACUCCAAAAGAGAACAAAAAUUGAGCUUUUGGGGAAGAAGCCUGACCUGACAGGUCUCUGGUUUGCUAAGGAGACAGCAGCACCACUUGCAGGUUAGUGUGGCCCCGGGGAAGCAGAGGUUACAAUGCAGAAGGUUCCAGACACAUCAGUCCCAUCUGGAUGACAAUCUUUUGAGACACAGCCCCCGUAGCUCCCCAUUGCCAUGAGAAGUGCAUAAGACUUGUCAACAGCGUGUCAGUCCCUUUGGACAGCUCCAGGGUCUUCUUCUCAUCAUUGUGACACAGAACAUCCAUUAAAUUUAUCUGUACACCAAGA
Leopardus geoffroyi (Geoffroy's cat) is the source of this 2463-nucleotide long non-coding RNA. RefSeq lists it as uncharacterized. The record is from RefSeq and is a predicted model, not a curated record. Lineage: Eukaryota; Metazoa; Chordata; Mammalia; Carnivora; Felidae. The transcript is spliced from 3 exons.